RNAcentral lists this ribosomal RNA (450 nucleotides) under uncultured bacterium. RNAcentral's name for it is "partial 16S ribosomal RNA". It matches the Rfam family "Bacterial small subunit ribosomal RNA", at positions 338 to 795 of the family's 1533-position model. The record is from RNAcentral.
CCUACGGGUGGCUGCAGUGGGGAAUUUUGGACAAUGGGCGCAAGCCUGAUCCAGCAAUGCCGCGUGUGUGAUGAAGGCCUUCGGGUUGUAAAGCACUUUUGGUGGGAACGAAAAGGUCCGGGCCAAUACCCUGGACUAAUGACGGUACCUGCAGAAUAAGCACCGGCUAACUACGUGCCAGCAGCCGCGGUAAUACGUAGGGUACGAGCGUUAAUCGGAAUUACUGGGCGCGGAGUGGGCGCAGGCGGUUGAAAUCCCCGGGCUUAACCUGGGAACUGCAUUGGUGACUGCAAGGCUGGAGUGUGUCAGAGGGGGGUGGAAUUCCGCGUGUAGCAGUGAAAUGCGUAGAUAUGCGGAGGAACACCGAUGGCGAAGGCAGCCCCCUGGGAUAACACUGACGCUCAUGCACGAAAGCGUGGGGAGCAAACAGGAUUAGAUACCCCUGUAGUC